AUUGAACGCUGGCGGCAGGCUUAACACAUGCAAGUCGAGCGGGGAAAGGUAGCUUGCUACCUGACCUAGCGGCGGACGGGUGAGUAAUGCUUAGGAAUCUGCCUAUUAGUGGGGGACAACAUCUCGAAAGGGAUGCUAAUACCGCAUACGUCCUACGGGAGAAAGCAGGGGACCUUCGGGCCUUGCGCUAAUAGAUGAGCCUAAGUCGGAUUAGCUAGUUGGUGGGGUAAAGGCCUACCAAGGCGACGAUCUGUAGCGGGUCUUAGAGGAUGAUCCGCCACACUGGGACUGAGACACGGCCCAGACUCCUACGGGAGGCAGCAGUGGGGAAUAUUGGACAAUGGGGGGAACCCUGAUCCAGCCAUGCCGCGUGUGUGAAGAAGGCCUUUUGGUUGUAAAGCACUUUAAGCGAGGAGGAGGCUACCGAGAUUAAUACUCUUGGAUAGUGGACGUUACUCGCAGAAUAAGCACCGGCUAACUCUGUGCCAGCCGCCGCAGUAA
This 501-nucleotide ribosomal RNA is filed under the name uncultured bacterium. RNAcentral describes it as "partial 16S ribosomal RNA". It matches the Rfam family "Bacterial small subunit ribosomal RNA", at positions 30 to 523 of the family's 1533-position model. The record is from RNAcentral.